Molecule: ribosomal RNA, 759 nt
Filed under: uncultured Enterobacteriaceae bacterium
Lineage: Bacteria; Pseudomonadati; Pseudomonadota; Gammaproteobacteria; Enterobacterales; Enterobacteriaceae
Description: bacterial SSU rRNA
Rfam family: Bacterial small subunit ribosomal RNA
Source: RNAcentral
AUUGAACGCUGGCGGCAGGCCUAACACAUGCAAGUCGAACGGUAACAGGAAACAGCUUGCUGUUUCGCUGACGAGUGGCGGACGGGUGAGUAAUGUCUGGGAAACUGCCUGAUGGAGGGGGAUAACUACUGGAAACGGUAGCUAACACCGCAUAACGUCGCAAGACCAAAGAGGGGGACCUUCGGGCCUCUUGCCAUCGGAUGUGCCCAGAUGGGAUUAGCUAGUAGGUGGGGUAACGGCUCACCUAGGCGACGAUCCCUAGCUGGUCUGAGAGGAUGACCAGCCACACUGGAACUGAGACACGGUCCAGACUCCUACGGGAGGCAGCAGUGGGGAAUAUUGCACAAUGGGCGCAAGCCUGAUGCAGCCAUGCCGCGUGUAUGAAGAAGGCCUUCGGGUUGUAAAGUACUUUCAGCGGGGAGGAAGGGAGUAAAGUUAAUACCUUUGCUCAUUGACGUUACCCGCAGAAGAAGCACCGGCUAACUCCGUGCCAGCAGCCGCGGUAAUACGGAGGGUGCAAGCGUUAAUCGGAAUUACUGGGCGUAAAGCGCACGCAGGCGGUUUGUUAAGUCAGAUGUGAAAUCCCCGGGCUCAACCUGGGAACUGCAUCUGAUACUGGCAAGCUUGAGUCUCGUAGAGGGGGGUAGAAUUCCAGGUGUAGCGGUGAAAUGCGUAGAGAUCUGGAGGAAUACCGGUGGCGAAGGCGGCCCCCUGGACGAAGACUGACGCUCAGGUGCGAAAGCGUGGGGAGCAAACAGG